Molecule: ribosomal RNA, 1119 nt
Filed under: Vibrio sp.
Lineage: Bacteria; Pseudomonadati; Pseudomonadota; Gammaproteobacteria; Vibrionales; Vibrionaceae
Description: bacterial SSU rRNA
Rfam family: Bacterial small subunit ribosomal RNA
Source: RNAcentral
UGCAGUCGAGCGGAACGAGUUAACUGAACCUUCGGGGGACGUUAACGGCGUCGAGCGGCGGACGGGUGAGUAAUGCCUGGGAAAUUGCCCUGAUGUGGGGGAUAACCAUUGGAAACGAUGGCUAAUACCGCAUAAUAGCUUCGGCUCAAAGAGGGGGACCUUCGGGCCUCUCGCGUCAGGAUAUGCCCAGGUGGGAUUAGCUAGUUGGUGAGGUAAUGGCUCACCAAGGCGACGAUCCCUAGCUGGUCUGAGAGGAUGAUCAGCCACACUGGAACUGAGACACGGUCCAGACUCCUACGGGAGGCAGCAGUGGGGAAUAUUGCACAAUGGGCGCAAGCCUGAUGCAGCCAUGCCGCGUGUGUGAAGAAGGCCUUCGGGUUGUAAAGCACUUUCAGCAGUGAGGAAGGCGGGUACGUUAAUAGCGUGCUCGUUUGACGUUAGCUGCAGAAGAAGCACCGGCUAACUCCGUGCCAGCAGCCGCGGUAAUACGGAGGGUGCGAGCGUUAAUCGGAAUUACUGGGCGUAAAGCGCAUGCAGGUGGUUAGUUAAGUCAGAUGUGAAAGCCCGGGGCUCAACCUCGGAACUGCAUUUGAAACUGGCUGACUAGAGUACUGUAGAGGGGGGUAGAAUUUCAGGUGUAGCGGUGAAAUGCGUAGAGAUCUGAAGGAAUACCGGUGGCGAAGGCGGCCCCCUGGACAGAUACUGACACUCAGAUGCGAAAGCGUGGGGAGCAAACAGGAUUAGAUACCCUGGUAGUCCACGCCGUAAACGAUGUCUACUUGGAGGUUGUGGCCUUGAGCCGUGGCUUUCGGAGCUAACGCGUUAAGUAGACCGCCUGGGGAGUACGGUCGCAAGAUUAAAACUCAAAUGAAUUGACGGGGGCCCGCACAAGCGGUGGAGCAUGUGGUUUAAUUCGAUGCAACGCGAAGAACCUUACCUACUCUUGACAUCCAGAGAACUUAGCAGAGAUGCUUUGGUGCCUUCGGGAACUCUGAGACAGGUGCUGCAUGGCUGUCGUCAGCUCGUGUUGUGAAAUGUUGGGUUAAGUCCCGCAACGAGCGCAACCCUUAUCCUUGUUUGCCAGCACUUCGGGUGGGAACUCCAGGGAGACUGCCGGUG